RNAcentral lists this transfer RNA (77 nucleotides) under Helicobacter fennelliae. Its description in RNAcentral is "tRNA-Met(cat)". It matches the Rfam family "tRNA". From Rfam's summary of the family: Transfer RNA (tRNA) molecules are approximately 80 nucleotides in length. Lineage: Bacteria; Pseudomonadati; Campylobacterota; Epsilonproteobacteria; Campylobacterales; Helicobacteraceae. The record is from RNAcentral.
CGCGGGGUAGAGCAGUCCGGUAGCUCGUUGGGCUCAUAACCCAAAGGUCGGCGGUUCAAAUCCGUCCUCCGCAACCA